CUUGUGGGGAGAGUGAAAGUCCCUCGAUCAUGUCCAACUCUUUGCGACCCCAUAUACAGUCCAUGGGAAUUCUCCAGGCCAGAGUACUGGAGUGGGCAGCCUUUCCCUUCUCCAGCAGAUCUUCCUGACCCAGGAAUUGAGCCGGGGUCUCCUGCAUUGCUGGCGGAUUCUUUGCCAACUGAGCUAUCAGGGAAGCUGUGGGGAGGGGGGCAGCCCCAAACAUUGCCCAUCCAGUGGAGUGCUAAGACAAACAUCCCCAGCCUAUCCAACUCUACCUUCAGCAGCAAGACCAUUCAAGACCCACCAAGAGGAGUGAGGGGUCUUAUUCUGCCUACAUAAUUGAUCAUAUUAGCUCAUUCUGGUGGUGGCACUAAUCGGUCAGAGGAUUAAAAGGCCGCGGGUGCAGCUGGGGUAAGAGGGAAGGUGAGGCGGUGGGUCCUGACAGCAGAGAUGAAGGUUGUGGGGCCCAGGAAGAAAUGCAAAUGAAGGCCCUUGUACCAUACACUCUAGCGCCAAGGUCCUCUGCAUCUCGGCCCUGUAACCAGCCAUGGAGCCAAGUAAGGUAAAACCCGUCUCUUGUGUCUCGGUGUUUGUGAAGGGUGGAGCCCUCCUGAACACGGGGCCCGACGAGGGAUCUCUGUGGUACGGGGCUGAGGGCAGACUUGUACCUGGGGCUUCCCGAUGACGGGCAAGCGGCCCAGGUAGGAGGGUCCCGGCGGAGUGGCCCCACUGCAGGGCCGGGGAGGGCCUGACGGGGUUCGUGGCCUGUUCGGCGGGUGCAUCCGAGGUCGUGAGGAGCGGCUGGACCGCCCUGCGACAGCGCAGGGUCGCAAGGUACCGGGUCCCCGGGCGGUGGCUGCAAAGGGGCAGCAGGAAGACGACGAGGUGGGAAGGGCGCCUCCAGCCCAGCGAUUCUAAGCGAGCGGCCAGGUCUGAAGGCUCGCGGCGGCCCCAUCGCCCGGGGCGGGAGGCCCCUGACCAGCCGGCAGCCAGACCCAGCGCUCUCCGUCCGGAAACGCGCGCCCAGCCCCCGAGACGGGUCCUUCGACUCCCACUGAGUCACCUGGACUCAGGCGAGGGCCCCGGCCCAAGAGGCGGAACUCUCCUCACCGCUGGCUCGUAGUUCGCUCACCCGGCCCCGCGCUGGGCCGGGACCCUCCGCUCGACUACAAGUCCCAGAAGGCCGCGCGGCGCGGGCGGGGAGGGG
Long non-coding RNA from Bos taurus (domestic cattle), 1207 nucleotides. The record is from Ensembl. NCBI's taxonomy places the organism in Eukaryota, Metazoa, Chordata, Mammalia, Artiodactyla, Bovidae.